This 540-nucleotide ribosomal RNA is filed under the name Trichoderma asperellum. RNAcentral's name for it is "eukaryotic LSU rRNA". The stretch from base 154 to 307 matches the Rfam family "5.8S ribosomal RNA". The record is from RNAcentral. Lineage: Eukaryota; Fungi; Ascomycota; Sordariomycetes; Hypocreales; Hypocreaceae.
ACGUUACCAAACUGUUGCCUCGGCGGGGUCACGCCCCGGGUGCGUCGCAGCCCCGGAACCAGGCGCCCGCCGGAGGAACCAACCAAACUCUUUCUGUAGUCCCCUCGCGGACGUAUUUCUUACAGCUCUGAGCAAAAAUUCAAAAUGAAUCAAAACUUUCAACAACGGAUCUCUUGGUUCUGGCAUCGAUGAAGAACGCAGCGAAAUGCGAUAAGUAAUGUGAAUUGCAGAAUUCAGUGAAUCAUCGAAUCUUUGAACGCACAUUGCGCCCGCCAGUAUUCUGGCGGGCAUGCCUGUCCGAGCGUCAUUUCAACCCUCGAACCCCUCCGGGGGAUCGGCGUUGGGGAUCGGGACCCCUCACACGGGUGCCGGCCCCGAAAUACAGUGGCGGUCUCGCCGCAGCCUCUCCUGCGCAGUAGUUUGCACAACUCGCACCGGGAGCGCGGCGCGUCCACGUCCGUAAAACACCCAACUUUCUGAAAUGUUGACCUCGGAUCAGGUAGGAAUACCCGCUGAACUUAAGCAUAUCAAUAAGCGGAG